CAAUAACUGAAACACUUUGAGGAGCAGAUAUUCUCAUCCCCUUCUAAUUUGCAGUUGGGACCUAGGGCAAUUUUUGUUCCUAAAACUUUGGAGUCACUUCAACAUUUUCAGCCACAGAACAACUGCUCAUGUUCUUGCUCCAGUCAUUUGAAGUCUCCCUGGGAAACAGCUGGCCUCUGAUGUGCGAGAUACCUGCUUCCCACUAUUUGGCUUCCAACAGCAAGAAGAUGACUUACGGCCAUGAACUAUCCCUUAAUUUAACACAUCAAAACUGAGCGAAAAUAAACAAAGCAGAGUGAAGAACACAUGUAGAUCAUGAACUCACAUUCUGCACCUUGCACUUUUGCCCAGAGCACAUGUUUUUGCAGCUUAUCUCCCUAGGUAUCUGUGAUGGUGCCUUCUCAUGUGUUUGUUUUCUUUGUGUGGGGAUACUUGGCAAGAAACUGCUUCUAUGGGAGAAAAAGCAGUUUCUGCUUCUCUGUGGCCAUGGACCAAACAAAGACCAUAACUGGACAUUUAACCACAGGCUUGCUGCAAAACCUGUCUGGCUUUGGCAUGACGUGCAUCUAAUGUGAAUGUGUGUUGCCUCGGAGAAUGCUCUGUUUUAUAUUCUUGCAUCUGAUUUUGUGCAGCUGGGAAGCCACGUUUCACAGGUGGUUGGUAAGCUUAUUAGAUUAUUCAUAACUGGUUUUAUUUCUCUUCUUUCCUUUUUUUUUUUUUUUUAAAGUAAUUAAAAACAUGCGUCAAAGGAGGCCCAUGAUGAUUAGAAGCACUGCUGACAUUUAUUUCCCGGUUACCUUUUGCUGUUUUCACUCACGUUAUACAGAGCCCGGUGCUGGUACUCAUACAAGUGUGCCACUUAUUCCCGUGGACAUGGCUCUGAGCCCACACCAGACAAGCUAGCAAGAAAUACGUGCUAUUCCUGUUGGAAAUUAUUUUAUUUUUUUUUAAGAGGAAGCAAACUAUAUUUAUUGGUAGUUUAUUAGGUAUUUACUUUGUGAGAAACUUCUGCUGGCAAAGAGCAGCAAUCACAGUAAUAAUUACGAUAAUGAUGAUGAAUGUUUGGCGUCAUUUUUUCUGUUGACCCAAAGCAGCGACAAAUUCUGGGCAUGGAGCAAUUCAUCUGAGGAAGAGUUCUUGAUCUGUAGUACUCUUGAAACAGGCACAUACAAGAAGAAGGGUAAAAGUACUGAAGGAGUCACUGAUGGGGUGAAGUUUUGCCAGCAGAAGAGGCUAGCUCCAGACCCCGGUAACAUGAAUUCCUGGCUGAAAUUCAGGCCAGUCUACCAGGGUGCAACACACAGCUCUGCAAGCCUCCACCGGGAUGGUCCCGGCCAUGUGUGAUCCAGAUACCAGCUCUGCAUCUCCUCCAGAGGAGGACUCCGGUAGCUCACAUGUGGCCUGUUCAGCUUCUGCUUCCCAGAGGAGUCGAGGCUGAGUUUUCCGAGGUGUUGAGCUUCGACUGGCUCAAAGUCAGGCUGUGCGUUAGCCUUUUAGAUAGUCAGACCCUCAAAAGCUGAGCUGAAUUUUAUAGAAUAAUUUCGAGGAAUGGAAAGUACUUCACUGAUGUAUGUC
This 1575-nucleotide long non-coding RNA is filed under the name Anser brachyrhynchus (Pink-footed goose). RNAcentral describes it as "lncRNA (ENSABRG00000022541.1)". Lineage: Eukaryota; Metazoa; Chordata; Aves; Anseriformes; Anatidae. The record is from RNAcentral.